GGGGUGUGGAGGAGAGCCUCAUGGGACUCAAUCCAGGUCCUGCAAGAAGAGGACCAGCAGCACUUGUCUUCAAUCCUCCCAUCUGUACCAGGGUGUGGAGUGCAGACCCAGCCCAGUUGGUGACCUGACCAAGAUCCAUUCCUGCCACAGCUACUUUCUACCUGUGAGCUCCCCAGUAAGUCACUUAAACUCCCAAAGCCUUACUUUCCUCAUCUGCUCAAUGGGGUCAUGGGGCAUGCCUCUGCCACAGGGCAUGUGAAGACUUUAGCAGUGGCCUGGUAUACCAGACAUUGCCCAUAGGAGCCAGGACCAGAGAGUAUCACUGUUGAAAGCAGCAAGAUGAACCUAGGUUAGCAGUGAGCAGAAAGGACAAUGACACUCCACCCCCCGGAAAAAGAGAUGCAGUUUGGUUUUACCCCUGACCUUGCAAACACAGACAGGGAAACUGAAGAGGCUCCAGCAGGCUGGGUGUGACUUGGGAGGUGUGCUCCCUGAGGAGCUCAUUCCUUGUGUUCAAGAGGAGGGAGAAAUGGGGGCUGUGUGGGCAGGAGACAGAAUGACUGGUAGGACUGUGAUAACAACCAACUUCAACCGUGGUGCGAAAGCUCCAGCACAUAAUAGGUACUCAGCAAGGGCUCACUGUCCUGAGUUCUGCCUCCUCCAGGAGGUGCCUUCCCUGUGCCCCACCUCUUCUCCAGUUCCUGGGAUCAGCUCAGGGCAGGUGAGAGUCCAGGUGCUGCCUGGCACAGGGUGUCAGAGGAGGGGAGAUGAUGUGUGAGUGGGAGACCUGCUCAGAGUGUCUGCCCCAGGGGCUCCCCCGGGGUGACUGACACCCCCACAGACACACAGACUGAUGGGUAGAGAUGGAGAGCCUCCACUUCUCUGGCCAGGCCUGCAGCUGGCCAGCUCCUACCCCUCCAGCCCUGUCCCGAAGGUGCCUCCGCCCCUGCUGUGUCCAGGGAUAUCUCAGAGAGGUGUGGCUGGAGUGGUCUGUUGAGGUUUGAUCAUGGAGGCCUUGAAUGCCAGGCCCAGGACAGGAUAGUAAUAACAGCUGUUGGCUGCAGCUGGAAGCACAGUCAGCCAGUAUGGAUGUGUGUGUGGGAGAUGGUGACGUGUGUUUGUGUGUGUGUGCCUGUGUGCACCCAUGGCUGGCCACGUGGGAUGUGGGGUGUGACUGUGCUAGGGUGUUACACAUGUGGAAACACAAGGGUGUGUGUGUGUGUGUGUAUGCAUGUGUGGGUGGGUGCAUGCACUCCUCUUCUGCUGCCCUGGCAUCCCAGGGAAGCACACCCACACUGCUGCACUCCCAGGUGCACAGGCAGGUGCCCACUGAAGGUCUGAGCCAUCCCAGCUCUCUACCUGCCCACCAGCUCACCCACCUCUGCCAAUAGGCCAUGCAGGCAAUGAAUACAUCAGGUAAUUAAGCAGGAGAUCAAUUCAACUUAACUUGGAGGAAAGCAGCCGUGCCUAGUGGAGAGGAGAGACAGGGCUGCAGGAGGCUGAGGCUGAGCAGGGAGUGGGUGGGGAACUGGCAGCGAAAGAUGGGAAGGGGUGGCUGCUGGAGUGGGAUGUGCCAUGCACCCUGCGGAGGGGAGCAGAAGCCAAAAGGAGAGGAAAGGAACUACGAGGACCAAGGCCACUGACCAAGGGGGCAAGGAGGGGACUGGCUGGUGGCAGAGAGAAUGGGAAAGAUGUAAGGAAGAACCAAGGCCAGCAACAGGACAAGCUUGUAUCUCCUCAGCUUCCCAGGGGUUCUCUCCUGGUGGGGCAGGGGCCAGCGGUCAGGAUGGGUCUAUCACCCAGCUUCCCAGAUGGCUCACAGCCUCUUCUGUGGUCCUGCUAGCCCCGAGCAUGUGCACAGAACUUGACCCUGUGGGCUCUGCUGGGGGUGCCGAGGAGGAUCUUUGACCAUGCCCCAUUGUUCACCAGCAGAACUGGCCCCAGAUGUGAAGGCCCCGUUACUGGAAGGUCAUCCAUUCAUUCAAUGAACACGCACCGAGAGCUGCUGAGCACCAGCUCAGGGUCUGACAUGGGCAGACUCCAGGAGGAAUCACACGCUGGCCGCCCUCGAGGGGGCACAGCCUCCCUGGGGAGAACAUGCAGACACAGACAGAUAUCCUACAGCAGAGGAGGGGACAGUGGGGGACCACAGAAGGCUUCUCUGUGACCCCUGAGCUAUGGCUUAAAGAAUAAGGGCAGCUAACCUGGGAAGCAGGAGAGCUCAGAGCAGAAGGCCAGGGAGAAAAGGUACUCAGGCCCUGGGGAGGGCAACAACAUAGGCAGAGAACCUACGAGAAUAUCCCCCGGAGAUGGCACCUUGUCUGUGGGGACAAGAGAGGCCAGUGUCCAUAGGUCCAUCAGGGCCUUGGGAGCAGGGGUGGGCUGGGCAGGGGCUAGCAUAAGGCAGCUUCAGCACUGAGGAGGUAGAGAACAGAGCGGACACCACAGGAGUUUAGGCAAGAGGGAUACAUGGACAGGCAGAGCUGGAGACCACACCAGGAAUGGGGGUGGUUUGGGCCAGGGGCAGAUGACACAGAGAUAUGGGAGAUGGAGGGUUGGUACAGUGAAGACAGCAUGAGGGCAGAGCACAGGGCGCCUUGGCAUGAUUGUGGAUGUGUGAUCUCAGCUAAGCCCCUGCCUCAGUUUCCCCAUCUGUACCAUGAAGGGCUCCCCCUCACUCAUGGACACUGGGAAUCCUGUGGUAAACAGGACAGCCCGGUUCCUGCCUCUGGGCUCACAGCCUAGAGGGAGGUGAGACAGGAAGAGAAUUAACUCCCUUAAGGAGUUAACCAAAGAAGGGGAGUUGAGGCACUAUGGAGGCUCGGCAGAAGCCGGGCCAUGCUCGGGUGCUCACUCUCAGUUGUCUUUGGGGAACCCCUGACCCCAUCAUCAUGCAUUGGGAACAGACACAUGCCUCCCUCUUGACGUAGGCCUGGCCAAUCAGCUUCCUUCAUCUCCAGGCCCAUGGUGAUUUUCCAGGACAGGCGUGUGGAUGUGGCUGACUCAAAGCUGGGGCUCCAGCUGAGGGGUCAGGGAAUGAGGUGCCUUGAGGAGCAGAAUGGGGGAGGCCUGGCUGGGCAUGGAGUUCACAUUCAGGCAAGAGGCCAAGUGACAGUAAUAACGUUUGAGCACCUGUAUCCAGCCAUACCUCAAGUUCACAGACCUGGAUUUUUAAACUACUUGUGCCAAUAAAUUCAAUUUUGCGACUGAA
Molecule: long non-coding RNA, 3211 nt
Organism: Pan troglodytes (chimpanzee)
Lineage: Eukaryota; Metazoa; Chordata; Mammalia; Primates; Hominidae
Exons: 2
Source: RefSeq, a predicted model, not a curated record